AUCCGAGGGCUUAACAGGUCUUAUCACGUGCGAGUCGAGCGGAUGAAGGGAGCUUGCUCCUGGAUUCAGCGGCGGACGGGUGAGUAAUGCCUAGGAAUCUGCCUGGUAGUGGGGGAUAACGUCCGGAAACGGGCGCUAAUACCGCAUACGUCCUGAGGGAGAAAGUGGGGGAUCUUCGGACCUCACGCUAUCAGAUGAGCCUAGGUCGGAUUAGCUAGUUGGUGGGGUAAAGGCCUACCAAGGCGACGAUCCGUAACUGGUCUGAGAGGAUGAUCAGUCACACUGGAACUGAGACACGGUCCAGACUCCUACGGGAGGCAGCAGUGGGGAAUAUUGGACAAUGGGCGAAAGCCUGAUCCAGCCAUGCCGCGUGUGUGAAGAAGGUCUUCGGAUUGUAAAGCACUUUAAGUUGGGAGGAAGGGCAGUAAGUUAAUACCUUGCUGUUUUGACGUUACCAACAGAAUAAGCACCGGCUAACUUCGUGCCAGCAGCCGCGGUAAUACGAAGGGUGCAAGCGUUAAUCGGAAUUACUGGGCGUAAAGCGCGCGUAGGUGGUUCAGCAAGUUGGAUGUGAAAUCCCCGGGCUCAACCUGGGAACUGCAUCCAAAACUACUGAGCUAGAGUACGGUAGAGGGUGGUGGAAUUUCCUGUGUAGCGGUGAAAUGCGUAGAUAUAGGAAGGAACACCAGUGGCGAAGGCGACCACCUGGACUGAUACUGACACUGAGGUGCGAAAGCGUGGGGAGCAAACAGGAUUAGAUACCCUGGUAGUCCACGCCGUAAACGAUGUCGACUAGCCGUUGGGAUCCUUGAGAUCUUAGUGGCGCAGCUAACGCGAUAAGUCGACCGCCUGGGGAGUACGGCCGCAAGGUUAAAACUCAAAUGAAUUGACGGGGGCCCGCACAAGCGGUGAGCAUGUGGUUUUUAUCG
This 929-nucleotide ribosomal RNA is filed under the name Pseudomonas sp. BMW6-1. RNAcentral's name for it is "bacterial SSU rRNA". It matches the Rfam family "Bacterial small subunit ribosomal RNA", at positions 28 to 953 of the family's 1533-position model. Lineage: Bacteria; Pseudomonadati; Pseudomonadota; Gammaproteobacteria; Pseudomonadales; Pseudomonadaceae. The record is from RNAcentral.